UAUCUGGGCAUGGUGGUAUGUGCCUGUAGUCCCAGCUACUUGGGAGGCUGAAGUGAGAGGAUCACCUGAGCCCAAGAUAUUGAGGCCUCAGUGAGGCAUGAUUGUGCCACUGCACUCCAGCCUGG
This is a long non-coding RNA of Sapajus apella (tufted capuchin), 125 nucleotides long. RefSeq lists it as uncharacterized. The transcript is spliced from 3 exons. The record is from RefSeq and is a predicted model, not a curated record. NCBI's taxonomy places the organism in Eukaryota, Metazoa, Chordata, Mammalia, Primates, Cebidae.